GGGGAAUAUUGGACAAUGGGCGAAAGCCUGAUCCAGCCAUGCCGCGUGUGUGAAGAAGGUCUUCGGAUUGUAAAGCACUUUAAGUUGGGGGGAGGGGCGGCAGGUUAAUACUUGGUAGUUUUAACGUUACCAGCAGAUAAGGCACGGGCUAACUCGGUGCCAGCAGCCGCGGUAAUACGAAGGGUGCAAGCGUUAAUCGGAAUUACUGGGCGUAAAGCGCGCGUAGGUGGUUUGGUAAGUUGGAUGUGAAAUCCCCGGGCUCAACCUGGGAACUGCAUCCAUAACUGCCUGACUAGAGUACGGUAGAGGGUGGUGGAAUUUCCUGUGUAGCGGUGAAAUGCGUAGAUAUAGGAAGGAACACCAGUGGCGAAGGCGACCACCUGGACUGAUACUGACACUGAGGUGCGAAAGCGUGGGGAGCAAACA
Molecule: ribosomal RNA, 426 nt
Filed under: uncultured Pseudomonadaceae bacterium
Lineage: Bacteria; Pseudomonadati; Pseudomonadota; Gammaproteobacteria; Pseudomonadales; Pseudomonadaceae
Description: bacterial SSU rRNA
Rfam family: Bacterial small subunit ribosomal RNA
Source: RNAcentral